GACAGAGGGUGCAAACGUUGCUCGGAAUUACUGGGCGUAAAGCGCGUGUAGGCGGCUCUGUAAGUCGGGUGUGAAAGCCCUCGGCUUAACCGAGGAAGCGCAUUCGAUACUGCAGAGCUCGAGUACCGGAGAGGGUCGUGGAAUUCCUGGUGUAGAGGUGAAAUUCGUAGAUAUCAGGAGGAACACCGGCGGCGAAGGCGGCGACCUGGACGAGUACUGACGCUCAGACGCGAAAGCGUGGGGAGCAAACAGGAUUAGAAA
RNAcentral lists this ribosomal RNA (261 nucleotides) under uncultured bacterium. RNAcentral describes it as "partial 16S ribosomal RNA". It matches the Rfam family "Bacterial small subunit ribosomal RNA", at positions 524 to 784 of the family's 1533-position model. The record is from RNAcentral.